GGAGGUGAGUCGUAGCUGGUGCUGCGCCCAGGCUUCAAACCUGGUGGGGGUCGGUAGCCGGUCCCGGUGGGUUCGAUUCCCACGCGCCUCC
Molecule: transfer RNA, 91 nt
Filed under: Thermanaerovibrio acidaminovorans DSM 6589
Lineage: Bacteria; Thermotogati; Synergistota; Synergistia; Synergistales; Synergistaceae
Description: Selenocysteine transfer RNA
Rfam family: Selenocysteine transfer RNA
Source: Rfam by way of RNAcentral